Molecule: ribosomal RNA, 399 nt
Filed under: uncultured bacterium
Lineage: Bacteria
Description: bacterial SSU rRNA
Rfam family: Bacterial small subunit ribosomal RNA
Source: RNAcentral
AAUCAACGCUGGCGGCGUGCCUAACACAUGCAAGUCGAGCGGGAAAGGGGGCUUCGGUCCCUGGGUAUAGCGGCGGACGGGUGAGUAACACGUGGGUAAUUUGCCCUUGGGUGUGGAAUAACUCAGGGAAACUUGAGCUAAUACCGCAUGACAUCCCCUUCUCACAGGAGUUGGGGAUCAAAGCCGGGGACCCUUCGGGGCCUGGCGCCUGAGGAGAAGCCCGCGCCCGAUUAGCUAGUUGGUGAGGAAUGGCUCACCAAGGCUUCGAUCGGUAGCCGGCCUGAGAGGGCGGACGGCCACACUGGGACGUGAGACACGGCCAGACUCCUACGGGAGGCAGCAGUGGGGAAUUUUGGGCAAUGGGCGCAAGCCUGACCCAGCAACGCCGCGUGAGGGAGG